Long non-coding RNA from Rhipicephalus microplus (southern cattle tick), 218 nucleotides. The record is from RefSeq and is a predicted model, not a curated record. NCBI's taxonomy places the organism in Eukaryota, Metazoa, Arthropoda, Arachnida, Ixodida, Ixodidae.
UGUACCUUUAUCACUGCCACCUGAGAAAAAAAUGAGACUCUAUCUCUUUCGUGCACUGUUCAUAUAUGUCUUCAAGCUCGCCUUAAACGCUUCUCAAGGAACGGUCUUGGAGCCCUUUUGUCCAGUUGUGAACGGCUCGGGGACGCUAUGCGUGAACCGCACUUUAAACCCCGAGCUAUGCAAAUGUAAGACGCCAUUGGACGUUGCAAAAGCCCAUU